AUUAUGUGGGGGAUUCUGAGUACACAUGUUGUAAAUUGUCCUGUUAGUAGACUUAAGGAAACAAAAGGUGAAUCAAAUCCAAGUUAUCUACAUGCCUAACAGUGAGGGAGUCUAAAAGGAUACGUAUACAGCAUCAUAUAGUCCUCUGAGCUGAACUGAGGCUCAGGCAGCCCUUCUAGAAUGUUCUUCAGCUUUGUAAUGCCCCUUUGCAUGAAGUCCCAUCCAUGUUCCAGAUCGAUUGUGCUACGAUGGUUCAUUGUGAUUUCAAUAUCUUCACAAUUUAACAGAAUGCAACCCUACACAAAUUCCAAACACCUGUGG
This is a long non-coding RNA of Solanum stenotomum, 321 nucleotides long. RefSeq lists it as uncharacterized. The transcript is spliced from 2 exons. The record is from RefSeq and is a predicted model, not a curated record. Lineage: Eukaryota; Viridiplantae; Streptophyta; Magnoliopsida; Solanales; Solanaceae.